This 465-nucleotide ribosomal RNA is filed under the name uncultured bacterium. RNAcentral's name for it is "partial 16S ribosomal RNA". It matches the Rfam family "Bacterial small subunit ribosomal RNA", at positions 28 to 507 of the family's 1533-position model. The record is from RNAcentral.
GACGAACGCUGGCGGCGUGCUUAACACAUGCAAGUCGAACGGAGAGGCCCCUUUGGGGGUACUCGAGUGGCGAACGGGUGAGUAACACGUGAGUAACCUGCCCUUGACUUCGGGAUAACUUCAGGAAACUGGGGCUAAUACCGGAUAGGAAUCCUUGCUGCAUGGUGGGGGUUGGAAAGCUUCGGCGGUUUUGGAUGGACUCGCGGCUUAUCAGCUUGUUGGUGGGGUAGUGGCUUACCAAGGCUUUGACGGGUAGCCGGCCUGAGAGGGCGACCGGCCACAUUGGGACUGAGAUACGGCCCAGACGCCUACGGGAGGCAGCAGUGGGGAAUAUUGCACAAUGGGCGGAAGCCUGAUGCAGCAACGCCGCGUGCGGGAUGACGGCCUUCGGGUUGUAAACCGCUUUCAGCAGGGGCGAAGCUUGUGGUGACGGUACCUGCAGAAGAAGCACCGGCUAACUACGUG